RNAcentral lists this ribosomal RNA (253 nucleotides) under uncultured bacterium. RNAcentral's name for it is "partial 16S ribosomal RNA". It matches the Rfam family "Bacterial small subunit ribosomal RNA", at positions 524 to 776 of the family's 1533-position model. The record is from RNAcentral.
UACGUAGGGUGCAAGCGUUAUCCGGAAUUAUUGGGCGUAAAGAGCUCGUAGGCGGUUUGUCGCGUCUGCUGUGAAAACUGGAGGCUCAACCUCCAGCCUGCAGUGGGUACGGGCAAACUAGAGUGCGGUAGGGGAGAAUGGAAUUCCUGGUGUAGCGGUGGAAUGCGCAGAUAUCAGGAGGAACACCGAUGGCGAAGGCAGUUCUCUGGGCCGUAACUGACGCUGAGGAGCGAAAGCGUGGGGAGCGAACAGG